RNAcentral lists this ribosomal RNA (437 nucleotides) under uncultured Flavonifractor sp. Its description in RNAcentral is "partial 16S ribosomal RNA". It matches the Rfam family "Bacterial small subunit ribosomal RNA", at positions 341 to 792 of the family's 1533-position model. Lineage: Bacteria; Bacillati; Bacillota; Clostridia; Eubacteriales; Oscillospiraceae. The record is from RNAcentral.
ACGGAAGGCAGCAGUGAGGAAUAUUGGGCAAUGGGCGAAAGCCUGACCCAGCGACGCCGCGUGAAGGAUGAAGGUCUUCGGAUUGUAAACUUCUGUCGACAGGGAAGAAACAAAUGACGGUACCUGUUGAGAAAGCCACGGCUAACUACGUGCCAGCAGCCGCGGUAAUACGUAGGUGGCAAGCGUUAUCCGGAUUUACUGGGUGUAAAGGGUGUGUAGGCGGGAUUGCAAGUCAGAUGUGAAAAUUAUGAGCUUAACUCAUAACCUGCAUUUGAAACUGUAGUUCUUGAGAGUCGGAGAGGUAAACGGAAUUCCUGGUGUAGCGGUGAAAUGCGUAGAUAUCAGGAGGAACACCGGUGGCGAAGGCGGCUUACUGGACUGUAACUGACGUUGAGGCUCGAAAGCGUGGGGAGCAAACAGGAUUAGAUACCCUGGUA